RNAcentral lists this ribosomal RNA (494 nucleotides) under uncultured bacterium. RNAcentral's name for it is "partial 16S ribosomal RNA". It matches the Rfam family "Bacterial small subunit ribosomal RNA", at positions 28 to 507 of the family's 1533-position model. The record is from RNAcentral.
GACGAACGCUGGCGGCGUGCUUAACACAUGCAAGUCGAACGGAAAGGCCUGCUUUCCCUUGUGGAUUGCGGGUACUCGAGUGGCGAACGGGUGAGUAACACGUGAGUGAUCUGCCCCCAACUUGGGUAUAAGCCUGGGAAACUGGGUCUAAUUCCCGAUAGGACUGCAGGGUGGUGCCUGUGGUGGAAAACGAUUUUCUAGUGGUUGGGGAUGAGCUCGCGGCCUAUCAGCUUGUUGGUGGGGUAAUGGCCUACCAAGGCGGCGACGGGUAGCCGGCCUGAGAGGGUGGACGGCCACAUUGGGACUGAGAUACGGCCCAGACGCCUACGGGAGGCAGCAGUGGGGAAGAUUGCACAAUGGGCGGAAGCCUGAUGCAGCGACGCCGCGUGGGGGAUGACGGCCUUCGGGUUGUAAACUCCUUUCGACCGCGAGGAAGCCACCUGGUUGGAAGGGUGGUGACGGUAGUGGUAGAAGAAGCACCGGCUAACUACGUG